Molecule: ribosomal RNA, 253 nt
Filed under: uncultured bacterium
Lineage: Bacteria
Description: partial 16S ribosomal RNA
Rfam family: Bacterial small subunit ribosomal RNA
Source: RNAcentral
UACGAAGGGGGCUAGCGUUGCUCGGAAUCACUGGGCGUAAAGGGUGCGUAGGCGGGUUUUUAAGUCAGGGGUGAAAUCCUGGAGCUCAACUCCAGAACUGCCUUUGAUACUGAAGAUCUUGAGUUCGGGAGAGGUGAGUGGAACUGCGAGUGUAGAGGUGAAAUUCGUAGAUAUUCGCAAGAACACCAGUGGCGAAGGCGGCUCACUGGCCCGAUACUGACGCUGAGGCACGAAAGCGUGGGGAGCAAACAGG